RNAcentral lists this ribosomal RNA (554 nucleotides) under uncultured bacterium. Its description in RNAcentral is "bacterial SSU rRNA". It matches the Rfam family "Bacterial small subunit ribosomal RNA", at positions 110 to 658 of the family's 1533-position model. The record is from RNAcentral.
GUAAUAUAUCGGAACGUACCUUUGAGUGGGGGAUACUAGUCGAAAGACUAGCUAAUACCGCAUACGAUCUACGGAUGAAAGUGGGGGAUCGCAAGACCUCAUGCUCAUAGAGCGGCCGAUAUCUGAUUAGCUAGUUGGUGAGGUAAAGGCUCACCAAGGCUUCGAUCAGUAGCUGGUCUGAGAGGACGACCAGCCACACUGGGACUGAGACACGGCCCAGACUCCUACGGGAGGCAGCAGUGGGGAAUUUUGGACAAUGGGGGCAACCCUGAUCCAGCAAUGCCGCGUGAGUGAAGAAGGCCUUCGGGUUGUAAAGCUCUUUUGUUCCAGGGAAAGAAACGGGAUGCCCUAAUACGAUGUCCUAAUGACGGUACCUGAAGAAUAAGCACCGGCUAACUACGUGCCAGCAGCCGCGGUAAUACGUAGGGUGCAAGCGUUAAUCGGAAUUACUGGGCGUAAAGCGUGCGCAGGCGGUUAUGUAAGACAGGUGUGAAAUCCCCGGGCUUAACCUGGGAAUGGAUUUGUGACUGCAUAGCUAGGAGUGUGUCAGAGGG